Molecule: long non-coding RNA, 6044 nt
Organism: Globicephala melas (long-finned pilot whale)
Lineage: Eukaryota; Metazoa; Chordata; Mammalia; Artiodactyla; Delphinidae
Source: RefSeq, a predicted model, not a curated record
CCCGCCCCCUCGCAAGGAGCAUGCGCCACCGCGGCCGAAGGCCUGGAGGGGCGCGUUUACGGGUUUUCGAAGUGGUGCGGGGGUACUCGGCGGGAGCGAGGUCACGCUCCAGAUUCCUAACCUGCUAUCUGCUGGGCGGAGCCUCUGAGUUUAGCUGAGUCUCGGAGAUGGAAUUGGGGCAGGCGCUUGUCACAUAAAGUCCGUGCCCUGCUCGCGGGCUCCUGUCGCAACACUGACAAACCCGGGAGCCUUCGUGAGAGUGCAAAAAUGAGAGAUGAGGCACCAGAGGUCCCCAGGGCGCAAAUCUGAAAGCCAGCGCCUCCUGAGCACAGGCUGCCAGGGGCGAGACGACAUUAGACAUUGCCCCCCAGAUAUAAGAAGCAUCGCUUCCUUCAGACAGAGGUGGUGAGACUAUGAAGUAAUGGGACAGUUCCUCUUACUACGCUCCUCGGGAAGGCAGUUUGUGCCUCUCUGCUUUAGGCAUCAUCCUUUAUGGCUAAAAUUCUGCAGCCUGAUUGUUGAAUGUAGUGAAUGCUACCCUUGUUACAAGCUUGUGAUAACUGUAGUGAUGAUAAUAGCUACAGUUUACUGAAUGUCUACUUGGUGUCAGGCAAUAUGCUUCUUCGGGCUUCACAUCCAUAACCUGAAUUCCUCAAAAAACCCAAUCCUCUAAAAUAGCCAUUAUUUUCUCUUUAUUUAUUACUUAUAGAUGAGCAAAUUUUAAAGCUUAGAGCGAUAAACUUUUUUAAGUUCAUGCACCUAAGAAGUGGCAAAAUUUCAUUGGGACCUAGAUCUGAUUCAAAUCCUACACUUUACAUUCUCUCUUUGAAAUAGUAAACUGAUAGCAGUUAAAUUUUAAAAUCUAGGUGAAAGAGGUAAGACCAUGAAAUGACAAAAUCUUAAGGCUUUAAAGGAUAAGGAUGGGAUGACAGGAAUUCACGAAUGUUUAAAAACUGUGAUUGGGUUUAUUGACAAGAAUCAGAAUGGAAUCUAAUACGCAGAUUGAUAGAUGAAGCAUAAAACAAGACCAGAUGCUGUGGUUUCCAGGAUGCACUUGGCUUCCCAUCCUUUAUGACCUGGAGCAUUUUUUGCUGUAAACGAGAGAUCAGAAAAAGGGACAGUCAAGGAAAGGAGACAAAGAGGUCGACUCCCCAACAGUGUUUUCUUCCCCUUUGGUGUUUUGCAAAAAGCUGAAGAGAUGCUAUAAUGAUUCUUUAACCAACUGAAAGCAGCGUUAGAAUUCUGUCUAGAUAUUCUUGAACCUCUGACUGGGCAGUGUUCCACCUUCCACACUCCAGUCCAUCCAUCAUUCAAUACUACUUAUGCUAGAUAAACUGGCUUGCCAUAGUUUAUUAUCAUGUUGUCCUCACAGACUAGUAUUCAAGGAGCCUCCCCUGACCACUUCUUGGAACUCUUGGAAAUAAACAGAGAAACAGUUUAAAUGAAUGGUAAAAACCCAUGAAGGGCUUCCCUGGUGGCGCAGUGGUUGAGAGUCUGCCUGCCGAUGCAGAGGACACGGGUUCGUGCCCCGGUCUGGGAGGAUCCCACGUGCCGCGGAGCAGCUGGGCCCGUGAGCCAUGGCCGCUGAGCCUGCGCGUCUGGAGCCUGUGCUCCGCAACGGGAGAGGCCACAGCAGUGAGAGGCCCACAUACCGCAAAAAACAAAACAAAAAACAAACAAACAUGAAAUACAGUGAUUGUUUUUUUUUUGGGGGGGAGUAAAUAAUUAUAUGUCUUCAGUUGAGAGAAUCAUAAGGAUUUCUAGCACAUGAAUACACAUUCACAGCCCCCAAACAGAAGACAACUAAAAAAUCUCUGCAGAGGGACAGCAUUUCCCCCUCAUUCCAUAGGAGGGUGGGGAUCUGUGACACUCCAUUUUAAUGAUCAUCCCCAAAUUCUGUUUCUGUGCCCAACACAGUAAAGCAUUUCCAAGUACAGAGUGUCAGACAGGUGAACAACAAACAGCCUCUGUCAAAAUAGAGAGAGAGAUUAAGUAAUUUACCCAGGGCAAGUAGCUAGUAAGUAGCUGCUAGUAAGUAGCAGAGUUAGAAUUUGAACCAGCACGUUUAGUUCGAGAGCCUGUGUUCAUACUCAUGCCCUGUUCCCAAAUUUGUUAAAACUUAGAAAAAUUGUUACAUGGAUUGUUAGGGCUCCUUAAAAGCAAGAAAAACAUGACAAAUUAACACUGCUGGAUUUACAACCUACUUUAUAAAAGCAUUAUUAGAGGAUAUCUUUUGAGUGCUAUGGAUUUGAUUUAUGAGAAUGUAAAAUGUUGACUAGAAGCAAUAUCUAGCUCCAUUCUAAGCAGGACUAGGCUUCUGAUGGUUCAUUUUAUAUUUCAACUAUAUAAUUGAGAAGGAAUUGAUGAAUGCCUCUGAAUUUUUUUCUUCUCAUAUGUACUUUUUCUGAUAAAAAUUGUUUUCAAAUGUUAAGACAGCAGUACGUCAUAUUACAGUUUUAUUUUUAAAUUAACAUAUAGUAAAGUUGAUUGUGUGUGCGUACCUGCAUGUGUGUACAUGUGUGUAUACACAUGUGUACAUGUACACAUGUGUACAUGUGCAUGUGUGUACAGUUCUAUGAAUUUAAUACGAUAGAUUCAUAUAACCACAGUCAAGAUAUAUAACAGUUCCAUUAUCCUAAGAAACUCCCUUGUAUUACCCCUUUGUACGUACCUCCUCAACCCUUGGCAACCAUGGAUCUAAUCUCCAUCACUGUAGUUUUAUCUUUAUGAGAAUGUCAUAUAUAAAUUAAAUCCUACAGUAUAUAACUUUCUGAGACUGGCUUCUCUUACUUAACAUGCCUUUGAGAUUCAUCUGAGAUUUGCAUAUGCCAGUAGUUCAUUCAUUUUCAUUGCUGAGUAGUAUUCCAUUGUAGAGAUGUACCACAGUUUGUCCAUUCAUUUGUUGAAGGACGUUUCAGUUGUUUCCAGUUUUUGGUAAUUGUGAAUAGAGCUGCUCUAAACAUUUGUGUGUAGGUUUUUGUGUGAACAGAAGUUUUCAUUUCCUUAAAGUAAAUACCCAGGAGUAGGAUUGCUAGGUCAUAUGAUAAGAGUAUUUUCAACUUUUUGAGAGACUGCCAAAUGGUUUUCCCCAAUGGCUAUACCAUUUUGCAUUUCCAUGAGAAUGUAUGAGCAUUCGAUUUGUUUUGUAUCCUCACCAGAACUUGUUAUUAUCAGUAUUUUUUAUUUUAGGUAUUGUAAUAGGUAUCUCAUUAUUUUAAUUGACAUUUCCCUAAUGAUCAACAAUAUUAAUAUCUUUUUUAACAGCUUAUUUGCCAUCUAUUUAUCCACUUCAGUGAAAUGUUUGUUCGAGUCUUUUGCUCAUUUUUAAAUUGGGUUGUUUGUUUUCUUACUGUUAAGUUUUGAGAAUUCUUCAAAUAUAUAUUUGAAGUUCGAGAGCCUCAAGAGAUCCAUAGCACUCAAAAGAUAUCCUCUAAUAAUGCUUUUAUAAAGUAGGUUGUAAAUCCAGCAGUGUUAAUUUGUCAUGUUUUUCUUGCUUUUAAGGAGCCCUAACAAUCCAUGUGACAAUUUUUCUAAAUUUUAACAAAUUUGGGAACAGGGCAUGAGUAUCAACACAGGCUCUUCAAAUAUAUAUAUUCUAGAUAUAAGGCCUUUGUCAGUAUGUGAUUUGCAAAUAUUUUCUUCUGGUGUGUAACUUAUCUUUUUAUUCUUUUACAGUGUCUUUUAUAAAGUUUUAAAUGUUAAGUCCAGCUUAUCAUUUUUUCUUUUAUGGAUCAUGUUUUUGGUAUCAUGUGUAAGAACUCUUUGCUUAACCCCAGGUUAUGAAGAUUUUCUCUACAGGUUUCUUCGAAAAGUUUUAUAUUUUACAUUUAGAUCUAUGAUACAUUUUGAGUUAAUUUUUGUACAAAAUGUGAGAUUAAGGUUGAGGUUCAGUUUUAAGUAUAUGAAUGUCCAAUUGGUCCAAUAUCAUUUAUUGAAAAGACAAUCUUUUGGGCCUUUGUCAAAAAUCAGUUGGCUAUAUCUGCAUGGAUAUGAGCAUGGAUCUGUUUCUGGGCUGUCUAUUCCACUGAUCUAAGUGACUAUCCCUUCACCAGUAUCACACUUAGUUAAUCUAGCUUUAUAGUACAACUUAAAAAUCUGGUAAUAUGAUUUCUCCAACUUUAUUCUUUUUCUUCAAACUUAUUUAGGUUUUUAUAUUGCCUUUGAAUUUCUAUAUGAAUUUUAGAAUCAGCUUGCCUAUAUCUUGAAAAAUUCUGCUGGGAUAGUUCAUGAAAUUGAGUUAAAUCUGUACACAAAUUGGGGAGUUGAGUCUUCCUGUCCCAAAACAUGCUAUGUCUUUCCAUUUAUUUAGGUCUUUGAUUUCUUUCAUUUAUGUUUUCUAGUUUUCAGCAUAUAGAUACUGUUCUGUCAAUGUUUUGUUAAAUUUAUUCUUAGAUAUUUCAAUAUUUUUGGAGCUAUUGUAAAUGGUAUUGUUUUUAAAAUAUCUGUUUCAAUUGUUCACUGCUGGUAUACAGGUAUAUAAUUACUAUUGUGUUUUUAACUUAUAUCCUGUGACUGUACUUAACUUAGUUCUAGGAGUUUUUUGGGUUUUGUUGAUUUUUGGUCACUUCUUUUGGUUUCAAUCAUGUCAUCUGCAAAUAAGAACAUUUUAAUUUCUUCCUUUUCAAUCUGUAUGCCUUUAUCUCUUAUUCUUGCCUUAUUAUACUGGUUAAGAAUUCUAGUAUAAUGUCAAAUAACAGCAGUGAGAAAGAACAUCCUUGCCUUGUUCCUGAUCUUAGGGGGAAAGCAUUCAGUAUUUUACCACUAAGUGUGACAUUAGAUGUUGGCUUUUUGUACAUAAGAUGAAGAAGUUCCCUUCUAUCUCAGUAAGCUGAGAAUUUUAAAAAUCUUGAAUGGAUGUUGAAUUUUUUCCAAUGCUAUUUCUGUAUCAGUUGAUAUGAUUAUGUACAUAGUUUUUCUUCUUUAGUCUACUAAUAUAGUGGAUUACACUGACUGAGUUUUCAAAUAUUGAAGCAGCCUUGCCUUUUCAGGAUAAGUGCUACUUGUUUGUAGUAUAUAAUUUAAAAAACUACUUCUGGACUCAGUGUGCUCAGUGUGUUUGACUUUCAUAUUAAUGUUUAUGAGAGAUAUUAAUCUAUAGUUUUUUCCCCUGUACUGUCUUUUAUACAGUAUUUGGUAUCAGAGUAAUGCUGGUUUUAUAAAAAUGAGUUGGGAAGUGUUUCCUCCUCUUCUAUUUUCUGGAAGAGCUUGUGUAGUAUCAUUUCAUCUUUAAAUGUUUAAUAGAAUUCUACCUUUAGGCCAGGAAAAUUUUUUUGAAAGCCUUUUAACUAUGAAUUCAAUUUCUCUGUAGUUACAGGAUUCUUCACGUUAUCUAUUUUCUCUUUGAUGAGUUUUCGUAGUUUGUUGUCAAGGAAUUAGUCUAUUUCACCUUGGUUGUCAUAUUUAUGCAUGUAUUCCCUUAUCCUUGUAAUGUCUCUAGGGUCUGUGGUGAUAUCUUUUUUCAUUCCUGAUAUUGAUAGUUUGUGUCUUUUGUUUAUGAAUUUCAUUGAGUUUUAUGGAUUUCAUUGAUCUCAAAGAAUCAGUUUUUUAUUUUAUGGAUUUUUCUCUAUUUUGUUUUCAAUUUCAUUCAUUUCUGCUCUUAGCUUUAUUUCCUUCCUUCUGCUUUAUUUGCUUUUUUAAAAAAGAUCAGUGAUUUGAGACCUUUUUUCUUUUUUUAUAUAAGCAAUUAAUGCUGUAAAUUUCCCUCUUUGGUUUAGCUGACUCCCACAAUUUUUGCUAUGUUGUACUUUCAUUUCUAUUUAAUUAAAAAUAUUUUUACAUUUCCCUUUUGACUUCCUCUUUGACCCACAGAUUAUUUAGAAGUGUGUUGUUUACAAAUGUUUGGAGAUUUUCUUUAUUUUCCAUUACUGAAAUCUAAUAUAACCCUAUUAUGAUUAGAGAGCAUACUGUGUAUGAUUUCAAUUCUUUCACAUUUUUUUAGGCUGGUAUUAUGAUCCAGAUAUUGUCUGUCUUGGUGAAUGUUCCAUGUUCAUUUAAAAUAAUAUGUAUUUUGCCUAGUGUUGAGUGGACUAAUCAAUAAAUAUCUG